GGCGACAUAGCCAAGUGGUAAGGCGUGGGACUGCAACUCCCUGAUCGCUGGUUCGAAUCCUGCUGUCGCCUCUA
Molecule: transfer RNA, 74 nt
Filed under: Lachnospiraceae bacterium
Lineage: Bacteria; Bacillati; Bacillota; Clostridia; Lachnospirales; Lachnospiraceae
Description: tRNA-Cys
Rfam family: tRNA
About the family: Transfer RNA (tRNA) molecules are approximately 80 nucleotides in length. Their secondary structure includes four short double-helical elements and three loops (D, anti-codon, and T loops).
Source: RNAcentral